AUUGAACGCUGGCGGCGUGCUUAACACAUGCAAGUCGAGCGGUAACAGGUGUAGCAAUACAUGCUGACGAGCGGCGAACGGGUGAGUAAUGCUUCGGAAUCUUCCUCGUAGUGGGGAAUAACCUGGGGAAACUCAGGCUAAUACCGUAUACGAACUACGGUUGAAAGCAGGGGAUCGCAAGACCUUGCGCUAUGAGAUGAGCCGAAGUCGGAUUAGCUAGUUGGUGAGGUAAAGGCUCACCAAGGCGACGAUCCGUAGCUGGUCUGAGAGGACGACCAGCCACACUGGGACUGAGACACGGCCCAGACUCCUACGGGAGGCAGCAGUGGGGAAUAUUGGACAAUGGGGGCAACCCUGAUCCAGCGACGCCGCGUGUGUGAAGAAGGCCUGCGGGUUGUAAAGCACUUUUAGUGGGGGAUGAAAAGCCAAAGGGCUAAUAACCCUUUGGUCUUGACCUAACCAAAGAAAAGACACCGGCUAACUACUGUGCCAGCAGCCGCGGUAAU
RNAcentral lists this ribosomal RNA (506 nucleotides) under uncultured bacterium. RNAcentral describes it as "bacterial SSU rRNA". It matches the Rfam family "Bacterial small subunit ribosomal RNA", at positions 30 to 524 of the family's 1533-position model. The record is from RNAcentral.